RNAcentral lists this transfer RNA (76 nucleotides) under Dialister invisus. Its description in RNAcentral is "tRNA-Phe". It matches the Rfam family "tRNA". From Rfam's summary of the family: Transfer RNA (tRNA) molecules are approximately 80 nucleotides in length. Their secondary structure includes four short double-helical elements and three loops (D, anti-codon, and T loops). The record is from RNAcentral. Lineage: Bacteria; Bacillati; Bacillota; Negativicutes; Veillonellales; Veillonellaceae. RNAcentral also lists the same sequence under 6 other names.
GCCUCGGUAGCUCAGUUGGUAGAGCAAAGGACUGAAAAUCCUUGUGUCCACGGUUCGAUUCCGUGCUGAGGCACCA